AAAGAUGAAAUCCAUAAACAAAGAACAAGUUGAUGUUUUGUUUUUUCAGAAAAAACUAUACUCAAUAUACAAAAUAGGUUGACUCACCCUUCUCUCUUUCUUUCUUUCUUUCUUUCUCCAUUCUCUGGUUCCUGUUGAGUAGCUCCACUCUAUAUGCACCUUCUACUCCUUUUUCGCUCAGUUACUCUAUUCCUUCAUAUCACUUUCUACACCUUCUUCACAUCCUUCUCUUUAUUCUGCAACCCUAUAUGGCUAAAUGCCCCAAAACGACACCCAUUCCCACCAAAACGGUGAAACCACCGUCACCACCCCACUACACCCUCCACUUCUGACGCUCCACCUUCAAGCCAUGACCUCAACCACCUCAACCUCCACCGACCCCCUCCCAUCAGACGACGGCGCGGCGGCCGUCAGGGCAGUCAACAAACGGUUCGAGGGGCUCCUCACUGUCCGGACCAAGGCCAUCAAAGGCAAGGGAGCAUGGUACUGGGCACACCUCGAGCCCAUACUCGUUCCGCACCCUGACACCGGUCUCCCCAAAUCAGUGAAACUCAAAUGCUCCCUCUGCGACUCUCUCUUCUCCGCUUCAAACCCUUCAAGAACAGCUUCCGAACACUUAAAGCGUGGAACUUGCUCCAACUUCAGCUCCGGUUUGAGACCCGGUUCUGUCCCUUCUCCCCUCCCCAUUUCCUCCAUCACUCCCGGUUCGAACCGCAAAAGGGGUUCGCCUCAAAUGGGUGCCACGUCACCCUCUUCUUAUCAAAAUCACUCCUUGGCCUUGGUCGAGUCUUCCCGCUUCGACAUGGGGUACACCCCGAUUCAGAACAGUAACAACAACAGCAAUAGUAAUAAUAAUAAUAACAACAACAUUAUGCUCUUGCAGCAUCACGGGCAGAGCCAACAGCAUUUAAUGUUGUCGGGUGGGAAGGAUGAUUUGUGUGCUUUGGCCAUGUUUGAGGACAGUGUGAAGAAGUUGAAGAGUCCCAAGACUUCUCCUGGUCCUGCUUUGAGCAAGGACCAGGUGAAUUCUGCUUUGGACUUGCUCUUCGAUUGGUUCUAUGAGACUUGUGGUUCUGUGUCCUUGUCUAGUCUGGAACAUAGAAAGUUUCAGGCUUUCUUGGGCCAGGUUGGGUUGCCCGCCAAUUUGAGGAGGGAGGUUUCUGGGGGGAGGCUUGAUGCUAGGUUCGGGGAGGCCAAGGCUGAGUCCGAGGCUAGGAUUAGGGACGCCAUGUUUUUUCAGUUGGCGAGUGAUGGGUGGAAGAGUGGGGGUUUGUUUAACUUUAACUCGUGUUGUGGUGGGGGGGAGAGUUUGGUGAAGUUUGUGGUGAAUCUCCCCAAUGGGAGUAGUGUGUUUCAGAAGGCUGUGUUCACUGGUGGAGUGGAGAAUUCUAAGUAUGCCGAGGAGGUUUUGUGGGAGACGGUUACUGCUGUUACUGGGAGUGUUGUCCACAGGUGUGUGGGGAUUGUCGCAGAUAAGUUCAAGGCGAAGGCGUUGAGGAACUUGGAGGCGCAGCACCAUUGGAUGGUGAACACUUCCUGCCAGCUUCAGGGGUUGGUUAGCUUGAUCAAGGAUUUUAACCGCGAGUUGCCGCUUUUCAGGUCUGUGAUUGAGAAUUGCUUGAAGGUUGCAAAUUUUAUGAACAGUGAGUCGCAGGUGAGGAGUCUUUUCCUCAAGUGCAGGGUGCAAGAGAUGGACUGCGGCGGCCUAAUUCGCGUGCCUUCACCCAAAUGUGAUCCGUUAAAGAAUUUUCAACUGGUGUUUCCUAUGUUGGAGGACAUUUUGAGCUGUGCCAGAGUGAUUCAGAUGGUUGUGAUGGAAGAUGGGUUUAAGGUGAUGUGCAUGGAAGAUACGCUAGUGAGGGAGGUUGCAGGGAUGGUGCAGAAUGAGGGGUUUUGGAACGAGUUGGAGGCGGUUUAUUCACUUGUGAAGCUUGUUAGAGGGAUGGUGCAUGAUGUUGAGGCUGAGAGACCAUUGAUGGGUAGGUGCUUGCCUCUUUGGGAGGAGCUGAGGAGCAAGGUGAAAGAGUGGUGUGGGAAGUUCAACAUUGUGGAAGGACCUGUGGAGAAGAUUGUUGAGAAGAGGUUUAGGAAGAAUUAUCAUCCUGCUUGGGCAGCAGCGUUUAUACUUGAUCCACUUUACUUGAUUAAGGAUGCAAGUGGAAAGUAUCUUCCUCCUUAUAAGUGUUUGACGCGAGAACAGGAGAAGGAUGUGGACAAGUUACUGACGAGGCUGGCUUCGCGAGAAGAGGCUCAUGUUGUGUUGAUGGAACUAAUGAAAUGGAGGUCAGAUGGUCUUGAUCCGCUUUAUGCACAGGCUGUUCAGAUGAAGCAGAGGGAUCCGGUGACAGGGAAGAUGAAAGUUGCAAAUCCACUGAGUAGUAGACUUGUGUGGGAAACAUGUUUGAGUGAGUUUAAAUCCUUGGGGAAGAUUGCAGUGAGGCUUAUUUUUCAGCACGCAACUUCAUGUGGGUUUAAGAGUAAUUGGUCUUUUAUGAGGAAAUUUUCAGCUAAUAAACAGUCAAGAGUUGCCUUGGAGAGGGCUCAGAAAAUGAUAUACAUUGCAGCUCAUGCCAAGCUUGAAAGGAGAGACUUUUCCAGUGAGGAAGAGAAGGAUGCAGAGCUGUUUGCCAUGUCUGGUAGUGAGGAUGGCAUGCUGGCUGAAGUUUAUGCUGAUGCUCCCUUAGUAGUUGGAAUGGCUUGAAGCAGUAGUAGGGUGGCAAAGCCAACAUGAUUUUAACGUGUGUCAACCUCGGAAGAAGAUAAGAAUCUUUGUAUCCGUAGAAGCAUUUCUCAUAGAUAAUCUGGCAUAUCUCCUGGUGUGUUUGUUUACUACAAAAUUAUUAGGCCCACAAUGGAGAGUGGAUAUCCAUGUCAAAGGGUGUCGUGGUCAAAGGAGAGUGAGAAUUAACCGUUUAGGUUGCCAUGAUUGCUAAAAAGGCCUGGAAAAAAAGGUUGAAAGAAGGAGUGUGGCCUAAAAAAAUGGAAAAGGAAGAGACCUGUCGGUAUGAGAUGUUACAUGAUAUGGUUGAGAGGUUUAUUGCAAUAUGCAGAAUAAAUGUUAUUGGAGCCAUGAACAGAAGGUUGGUGAUUCAAGGGUUCUGGUGGUGAUGAAAUUGCAUAUCAUUUUUCACCCUUCUUGUCAGUCACAUGCACAUGACACCCUUUUUGUUGUUUUUGUUGUCAUCAUACUAUAAAUUUCAUAAUAAAAUUAUGCAACUGAAAUCUGAGAUACUGUCAACCUGAUGCAAGCAGAACAGUUUCCUAGUCAAUAAUUAAUACAACUUCUCACUCUCUAUUCCGUGCAAAUA
Vigna radiata var. radiata (mung bean) is the source of this 3308-nucleotide RNA transcript. RefSeq lists it as uncharacterized. The transcript is spliced from 3 exons. The record is from RefSeq and is a predicted model, not a curated record. NCBI's taxonomy places the organism in Eukaryota, Viridiplantae, Streptophyta, Magnoliopsida, Fabales, Fabaceae.